Pseudopipra pipra is the source of this 251-nucleotide long non-coding RNA. RefSeq lists it as uncharacterized. The record is from RefSeq and is a predicted model, not a curated record. The transcript has 2 exons. Lineage: Eukaryota; Metazoa; Chordata; Aves; Passeriformes; Pipridae.
ACAGCAAAAUCACUUUUUGAAAUGUGGAAGUAUAGAGCCUCUCAAAGCUUAAAUCAACUUCAUGAAUCCCUUUUAAGCCUUCUGUGUGCAUAGUAUGACUUACCAGAAGCAUUAGUGCAAAUCAGAAGCAUGUGGGAACAAACUACACCAAUAGACAGCCAUGUUUGCCUCCAGAGGAAAACAACAGAGCAGAUUUGAUAGUUUCUUUAUGGCUGCAGGAAAUAAAAUCCCAAGAAUAGAGAAAUUAAUAA